AGUGAACGCUGGCGGUAGGCCUAACACAUGCAAGUCGAACGGCAGCACAGUAGGAGCUUGCUCUUACGGGUGGCGAGUGGCGGACGGGUGAGGAAUACAUCGGAAUCUACUUUUUCGUGGGGGAUAACGUAGGGAAACUUACGCUAAUACCGCAUACGACCUACGGGUGAAAGCAGGGGAUCUUCGGACCUUGCGCGAUUGAAUGAGCCGAUGUCGGAUUAGCUAGUUGGCGGGGUAAAGGCCCACCAAGGCGACGAUCCGUAGCUGGUCUGAGAGGAUGAUCAGCCACACUGGAACUGAGACACGGUCCAGACUCCUACGGGAGGCAGCAGUGGGGAAUAUUGGACAAUGGGCGCAAGCCUGAUCCAGCCAUACCGCGUGGGUGAAGAAGGCCUUCGGGUUGUAAAGCCCUUUUGUUGGGAAAGAAAAGCAGCAGGUUAAUACCCCGCUGUUCUGACAGUACCCAAAGAAUAAGCACCGGCUAACUUCGUG
RNAcentral lists this ribosomal RNA (492 nucleotides) under uncultured bacterium. Its description in RNAcentral is "partial 16S ribosomal RNA". It matches the Rfam family "Bacterial small subunit ribosomal RNA", at positions 29 to 507 of the family's 1533-position model. The record is from RNAcentral.